UACGUAGGGUGCAAGCGUUAUCCGGAAUUAUUGGGCGUAAAGCGUUCGAAGGCUGUUUGACAAGUUUGGGGUUAAAUCCGGUCGCUCAACGAUCGAAACGUCCCAAAAACUAUCAAACUAGAGAAUGAUAGAGGCAACUAGAAUUCUGCAUGUAGGGGUAAAAUCCGUUGAUAUGCAGAGGAAUACCAAAAGCGAAGGCAGGUUGCUGGGUCAUUUCUGACGCUGUUGAACGAAAGCGUGGGGAGCAAACAGG
This 253-nucleotide ribosomal RNA is filed under the name uncultured bacterium. RNAcentral's name for it is "partial 16S ribosomal RNA". It matches the Rfam family "Bacterial small subunit ribosomal RNA", at positions 524 to 776 of the family's 1533-position model. The record is from RNAcentral.